CUUUAAAGUUUUGAUUCUGGCUCAGGAUGAACGCUGGCGGUCUGCUUAACACAUGCAAGUCGAACGGGGGUAGAAAUACCCAAGUGGCGGACGGGUGAGUAACACGUGAGAAUCUAGCUUCAGGUUCGGGACAACAGAGGGAAACCGCUGCUAAUACCGGAUAGGCCGAAAGGUAAAAGAUUAAUCGCCAGAAGAUGAGCUCGCGGCCGAUUAGCUAGUUGGUGGGGUUAUAGCCUACCAAGGCGACGAUCGGUAGCUGGUCUGAGAGGACGAUCAGCCACACUGGGACUGAGACACGGCCCAGACUCCUACGGGAGGCAGCAGUGGGGAAUUUUCCGCAAUGGGCGAAAGCCUGACGGAGCAAGACCGCGUGAGGGAGGAAGGCUCUUGGGUUGUAAACCUCUUUUAUCAGGGAAUAAUCAAUGAAGGUACCUGAGGAAUCAGCAUCGGCUAACUCCGUGCCAGCAGCCGCGGUAAUACGGAGGAUGCAAGCGUUAUCCGGAAUCAUUGGGCGUAAAGCGUCCGCAGGUGGUAGUUCAAGUCGAUUGUCAAAGGCAGUAGCUUAACUACUGACAGGCAGUGGAAACUGAAAGACUAGAGUGCGGUAGGGGUAGAGGGAAUUCCCGGUGUAGCGGUGAAAUGCGUAGAGAUCGGGAAGAACACCAGUGGCGAAAGCGCUCUGCUGGACCGGCACUGACACUGAGGGACGAAAGCUAGGGGAGCGAAUGGGAUUAGAUACCCCAGUAGUCCUAGCCGUAAACGAUGGAUACUAGGUGUGGCAAGUAUCGACCCUUGCCGUGCCGCAGCUAACGCGUUAAGUUUCCCGCCGU
RNAcentral lists this ribosomal RNA (830 nucleotides) under Microseira wollei D1. Its description in RNAcentral is "bacterial SSU rRNA". It matches the Rfam family "Bacterial small subunit ribosomal RNA", at positions 9 to 873 of the family's 1533-position model. Lineage: Bacteria; Bacillati; Cyanobacteriota; Cyanophyceae; Aerosakkonematales; Aerosakkonemataceae. The record is from RNAcentral.